This 922-nucleotide ribosomal RNA is filed under the name Micrococcus sp. FyFern_2. Its description in RNAcentral is "bacterial SSU rRNA". It matches the Rfam family "Bacterial small subunit ribosomal RNA", at positions 526 to 1443 of the family's 1533-position model. The record is from RNAcentral. Lineage: Bacteria; Bacillati; Actinomycetota; Actinomycetes; Micrococcales; Micrococcaceae.
CGUAGGGUGCGAGCGUUUAUCCGGAAUUAUUGGGCGUAAAGAGCUCGUAGGCGGUUUGUCGCGUCUGUCGUGAAAGUCCGGGGCUUAACCCCGGAUCUGCGGUGGGUACGGGCAGACUAGAGUGCAGUAGGGGAGACUGGAAUUCCUGGUGUAGCGGUGGAAUGCGCAGAUAUCAGGAGGAACACCGAUGGCGAAGGCAGGUCUCUGGGCUGUAACUGACGCUCAGGAGCGAAAGCAUGGGGAGCGAACAGGAUUAGAUACCCUGGUAGUCCAUGCCGUAAACGUUGGGCACUAGGUGUGGGGACCAUUCCACGCUUUCCGCGCCGCAGCUAACGCAUUAAGUGCCCCGCCUGGGGAGUACGGCCGCAAGGCUAAAACUCAAAGGAAUUGACGGGGGCCCGCACAAGCGGCGGAGCAUGCGGAUUAAUUCGAUGCAACGCGAAGAACCUUACCAAGGCUUGACAUGUUCUCGAUCGCCGUAGAGAUACGGUUUCCCCUUUGGGGCGGGUUCACAGGUGGUGCAUGGUUGUCGUCAGCUCGUGUCGUGAGAUGUUGGGUUAAGUCCCGCAACGAGCGCAACCCUCGUACCAUGUUGCCAGCACGUAAUGGUGCGGACUCAUGGGAGACUGCCGGGGUCAACUCGGAGGAAGGUGAGGACGACGUCAAAUCAUCAUGCCCCUUAUGUCUUGGGCUUCACGCAUGCUACAAUGGCCGGUACAAUGGGUUGCGAUACUGUGAGGUGGAGCUAAUCCCAAAAAGCCGGUCUCAGUUCGGAUUGGGGUCUGCAACUCGACCCCAUGAAGUCGGAGUCGCUAGUAAUCGCAGAUCAGCAACGCUGCGGUGAAUACGUUCCCGGGCCUUGUACACACCGCCCGUCAAGUCACGAAAGUCGGUAACACCCGAAGCCGGUGGCCUAACCCUU